Molecule: long non-coding RNA, 1751 nt
Organism: Papaver somniferum (opium poppy)
Lineage: Eukaryota; Viridiplantae; Streptophyta; Magnoliopsida; Ranunculales; Papaveraceae
Exons: 2
Source: RefSeq, a predicted model, not a curated record
UCGUUUUUCUUUUUUUUUUCUGCUCUUUCUCUGUUCUUCUUCUGUUGAAGAUCGAGAGACGAAUUUGAAAUAAGUCUUGAGAGAUUUAAGUCGUGAGGAUGGAUAAAACAAGAAGGAGUUGGUGUUUCUGCUAACUAUGAAGAAGAAGAUUGAGUUGCUGAUAUAAAUCAAGAGUAGGGUUUUGUUCUGGAGUUGAGGAAAUCAAGAAAAGUAAGAUAGAAUCGAGGAGUAGAUGAUGAUGAUGAUGCUGAUUCAAGUAGUUAAUUCAGAUUUACAAGAAAAGGUAUUUCAGAGUGAAACGGGAUUUAGGGUUCUUAAUCUAAAAGUUGGUUUCGUGUGGAAAUGAGAUAUGAAUUGAGUUACUGAUAGAUGAUUAAGAACAGAGUUGUUGUUUAAUUGCUGUUAUUUAUUUGUUUUAAUGGAGAAUUGAAUUAGGGUUUCAUUCGAGUUGCAGAAGAGAAUUAGAAGAUGAAAUUGAUACUCUAGAGGGUCAAUUGAAGAUGGGUUUUAGGAACAGAUCAUGAAUAAGAAAGUUGUGUUAAUUUGGGAGUUUGAAUUGAGAAAUUGAAGGGUUAGGGUUCAUGUGUUCUUUUCCAAAUUGAAAUUAAGGUUUCAUGAAAUUAAACUUGGAAGAGAUGAAUUUGAAGGUUUAGAAGAUCGAUUGGAGGUGGAUUUAACUCGAACUAAGACUUAAGGUUGAAGUAUAACUUGAAUUUGGAAGUCAGGGUUUUGAAUUUGAAGUUGAGGUUCUUGUUAUGAAACCAGGAUUUUAUGUUCUGUUUCAAAUGAAGAAUUAAGGUUCAUGGAUUGAAUAUUAGCUUAAGGAGUUGGAACUCGUGAAGAGGAAUUAAAAGUGGAAGAUCCAUGAUUCAUAUUAAGGUAGAGAAGAAUUUCAUCCUAAACUGAUUGGGGAGAAACCAUUUCAAGGGAGUUGUAUUGAUUUGUAGUUAACUGAAAAGAGAGUUGUGCUGGUAAACUUCUUGUAAGAAAGUUGUGUAUGGAGUAAGUUUAUAUAAAUGAGAUGUUGCAGAUAUUAGUGGUGGUUCUGUAUAUGGAGUGCAUGUUUUGUCAUAUGGAUGGAAUGGUGGAAUUCUUGAGUAUUGAAGUUGUGCAGAAUAGAGUGUUGAUGCCAUGGUUGUAGUUAGUGGCAGCUUUAGUGGAAUCUUGUUGUUGUAGGGAUUGAACUUUAUGAACUGAAAUGGAUUAGUUUGAUGGAGUUUCCUUGAUUAAUGGUUUGAUAAUUGUUUCAACUGGAGUUAAAGAUUCAGGACAUGUCAGGUUAAUUGUGAAUGAAGAAUAUUGUUUGUUUUGAGUCAAAUUAUAUGGUUUCAAUGAGUUAUGAUCGGCCGACAAAUGCUCAGAUAAGAUUGUAGUUGUGUUGAUACUGCUGAACUAUGAAUGGAGUAUGAAAUGAAUGGGGUUUACUGAUGUUUCAUUUGGGGCUUUCCAGUGCUAUCGCAGGUAAGCCGAGUUUACGGUUGUGAAUUAGUUAUGAAGUUUACAUAACUUGAAUGCAUGAUUGAAGUAAUAAUGUUGAAGUGGAAUUGUUGUUGUAGAUGAUUGUACAGAAUUACAAGUAAUGAUGGUAUUAAAUUGAAGUUGUAGUUAAUCUGAAACUGGUGGUGAUUCAGUUUAGUGGAUAAUGUUGCUAAAAGCUGCAACUGCAGGUAAUUGAGUUGUAAUUGUGUUUGUAAUUUACUUCGGAAGUUUGUUUAAGAUAAAUAUAUUGUUAUUGAAAUGUUAAAAUGGUA